RNAcentral lists this transfer RNA (73 nucleotides) under Candidatus Kentrum sp. FM. RNAcentral's name for it is "Candidatus Kentron sp. FM tRNA_Thr_GGT". It matches the Rfam family "tRNA". Rfam says of the family: Transfer RNA (tRNA) molecules are approximately 80 nucleotides in length. Their secondary structure includes four short double-helical elements and three loops (D, anti-codon, and T loops). The record is from RNAcentral. RNAcentral also lists the same sequence under 2 other names. Lineage: Bacteria; Pseudomonadati; Pseudomonadota; Gammaproteobacteria.
GCCCAUAUAGCUCAGUCGGUAGAGCGCUUCCUUGGUAAGGACGAGGUCACCGGUUCAAAUCCGGUUAUGGGCU